AAUUUUCACCUCAAAACAAAAACAAAAAAUAAAAAUAGAUAAUCAUAUAUAUGAAAGUUGGCCAACUCUCUUCAUAAGAUUGACACAUCAUCACUUUAGCAUUUGCUAUGUCUCUAUUAAAUAAUUAAUGUAAGCUCUUCAACUUUUAAUUUAUAGGUUAAUGAUUUUUUUUGUAAUCCAAACUCAAAAUAUGAGUGUAUAAUAGUCGUGGAUUACUUAAUGAUUUGAGUAAAUUAUUCUCUUAAAUAGAUAUUUAUAUAAUAAAUCUCUGAGGGUGAAAAAUACGUAAAGAGUUCCAUCAUCAAAUUUUUAGGUUUCUAGAAUCCAACACUACCCUCUCUUAAAUUGGUUUAAGACAAACAUUAUUUAUGAAUUAUAUGUAUGAUGCAUUGUUGAGAAUGUUAUUAGGAAAAAAUAUUU
Molecule: small RNA, 420 nt
Filed under: Arabidopsis thaliana (thale cress)
Lineage: Eukaryota; Viridiplantae; Streptophyta; Magnoliopsida; Brassicales; Brassicaceae
Description: ATSL212470
Source: RNAcentral